CAGCAGCCACGGUAAUACGAAGGGGGCUAGCGUUGUUCGGAAUUACUGGGCGUAAAGCGCACGUAGGCGGCUUUGUAAGUUAGAGGUGAAAGCCUGGAGCUCAACUCCAGAAUUGCCUUUAAGACUGCAUCGCUUGAAUCCGGGAGAGGUGAGUGGAAUUCCGAGUGUAGAGGUGAAAUUCGUAGAUAUUCGGAAGAACACCAGUGGCGAAGGCGGCUCACUGGACCGGCAUUGACGCUGAGGUGCGAAAGCGUGGGGAGCAAACAGGAUUAGAUACCCCCGUAGUCCCUGUCUCUUAUAC
Molecule: ribosomal RNA, 301 nt
Filed under: uncultured bacterium
Lineage: Bacteria
Description: partial 16S ribosomal RNA
Rfam family: Bacterial small subunit ribosomal RNA
Source: RNAcentral